GGCCGGCAGCCAGGCUCCCGUGUGCUCCCAGCAGCUGAGCUGCCAGGCUCCCAAGGCCAAGGGCAGCAGCAGAGGGAAAUGUGGGACUGGCCUCCCACUCUCUCACCCCAGGAGGAGCACAGAAGGCUCAGGCGGAAGCAGGAGACAGGGAGAGGGUGGCCCCCUCCUCUUGGGGGCGCAGGGCUGGAGGAGAGCCACCCCAGACGGCAGGCUGACCCGCGGAGCCUCUGGUCUGAGCAGAUUCAAGACCAGGGUUCCCUGAGGCUGGAACCAGGCCCCACUCUGAAUGCCUGGAAACCUCAAAUGGACUGACCACGACACCCGCUGGGAAUUCCUUCCUGAGCUAGAGCUGCAGUUUCCCCUAAGAAGGCUGAGCUUCGUUCUCAUCUGACAUUCUCAUGGACUUGCUUUCUGCUUGCUGUCCAGGGGCAAGUUUAGUUCAUUCUAGGAAGGAGGGUAGCACAAUGACUAAGCAUGAGGACUCGCUUAGGAUUUGAAUGUGAGUUCCACUGCUUAUUGGCUGUGUGACCUUGUGUAAGUUACUUAACCCCUCUGUGCCGCCAUUGCCUCAACUGUAAAGUAGUUGUUGUAUGAAUUGAAUGAGUUAAGACAGAAAAACA
Phacochoerus africanus (Common warthog) is the source of this 620-nucleotide long non-coding RNA. RefSeq lists it as uncharacterized. The transcript has 2 exons. The record is from RefSeq and is a predicted model, not a curated record. Lineage: Eukaryota; Metazoa; Chordata; Mammalia; Artiodactyla; Suidae.